GGGGAAUAAAGAGUACAGUAGCAGUGACUCCGGCGGGCGAAUGUGUAGUUCAUCGGGACGCUGGAUUCAGGGAACCGAUAUAGCAACAAAGCCUCGGUAGAGUUUGCUGCUGGAAAAUUGACUAAUGGCCUUCAUCUAUAUCCUCAACUAGGUAUCAAUUGGGAAAAUACCAGAUCUAUCACCUAAUCAUGUCACUAUAAGUUAAUUUCAGCUGAAAUGAAGUUUCUGGAUUGGUACUUGAGGAUUGGUGUCUUGUCAGCUUUGAUUGGAGCCUCUACGGAGUUCUUCAUGAUCAAAACCGGCCUCCGUGUGAAAAAUUUCCCUUCCAUUAUCUUUCGCUGCUCUUGCUUUAGCUACUCAUUAUUGACUUUUCAAAUCCUAUAUUAUGGCCUUUUGAGUUUUCCUGCUGCUGGCUAUGGAUUAUUUGCUGAGCCAAUAUCUUGAGAAAAACAAAUAACUUAAAUUUUUACUGCUAAAUAUAUGACUCCAGAAUUUAUGUGGUUCCAUCAAGGGAAAGCAUCUUGUUCAUCCAAUGAGAAGGCUUUCUUCUUCCUCCAUUCCACAUACCGCUUAACCUAUUGAUUCUACUUUAAAGAACUGAUCAGGCAGUUAUAUCGAUGGGAGUUUUUACUUCGUACUUCAAA
This is a long non-coding RNA of Prosopis cineraria, 644 nucleotides long. RefSeq lists it as uncharacterized. Lineage: Eukaryota; Viridiplantae; Streptophyta; Magnoliopsida; Fabales; Fabaceae. The transcript has 3 exons. The record is from RefSeq and is a predicted model, not a curated record.